CCGGCAACGGAUAUCUCGGCUCUCGCAUCGAUGAAGAACGUAGCGAAAUGCGAUACAUGGUGUGAAUUGCAGAAUCCCGUGAACCAUCGAGUCUUUGAACGCAAGUUGCGCCCGAGGGACCAUCCCGAGGGCACGC
Molecule: ribosomal RNA, 136 nt
Filed under: Eleocharis quinqueflora (fewflower spikerush)
Lineage: Eukaryota; Viridiplantae; Streptophyta; Magnoliopsida; Poales; Cyperaceae
Also listed under: 22 other names
Description: 5.8S ribosomal RNA
Rfam family: 5.8S ribosomal RNA
About the family: 5.8S ribosomal RNA (5.8S rRNA) is a component of the large subunit of the eukaryotic ribosome. It is transcribed by RNA polymerase I as part of the 45S precursor that also contains 18S and 28S rRNA.
Source: RNAcentral